This 57-nucleotide transfer RNA is filed under the name Clostridium sp. CAG:524. Its description in RNAcentral is "transfer RNA-Pseudo(GCC)". It matches the Rfam family "tRNA", at positions 8 to 63 of the family's 71-position model. Rfam says of the family: Transfer RNA (tRNA) molecules are approximately 80 nucleotides in length. Their secondary structure includes four short double-helical elements and three loops (D, anti-codon, and T loops). Lineage: Bacteria; Bacillati; Bacillota; Clostridia; Eubacteriales; Clostridiaceae. The record is from RNAcentral.
UAGUUCAACGGUUAGAAUGUGGCCUUGCCAAGGCUAAGAUGUCGGUUCGAUUCCGAU